Molecule: ribosomal RNA, 533 nt
Filed under: Pseudomonas aeruginosa
Lineage: Bacteria; Pseudomonadati; Pseudomonadota; Gammaproteobacteria; Pseudomonadales; Pseudomonadaceae
Description: bacterial SSU rRNA
Rfam family: Bacterial small subunit ribosomal RNA
Source: RNAcentral
GUCGGAUUAGCUAGUUGGUGGGGUAAAGGCCUACCAAGGCGACGAUCCGUAACUGGUCUGAGAGGAUGAUCAGUCACACUGGAACUGAGACACGGUCCAGACUCCUACGGGAGGCAGCAGUGGGGAAUAUUGGACAAUGGGCGAAAGCCUGAUCCAGCCAUGCCGCGUGUGUGAAGAAGGUCUUCGGAUUGUAAAGCACUUUAAGUUGGGAGGAAGGGCAGUAAGUUAAUACCUUGCUGUUUUGACGUUACCAACAGAAUAAGCACCGGCUAACUUCGUGCCAGCAGCCGCGGUAAUACGAAGGGUGCAAGCGUUAAUCGGAAUUACUGGGCGUAAAGCGCGCGUAGGUGGUUCAGCAAGUUGGAUGUGAAAUCCCCGGGCUCAACCUGGGAACUGCAUCCAAAACUACUGAGCUAGAGUACGGUAGAGGGUGGUGGAAUUUCCUGUGUAGCGGUGAAAUGCGUAGAUUUAGGAAAGGAACACCAGUGGCGAAGGCGACCACCCUGGACUGAUACUGACCCUGAGGUGCGAAA